GGUGGUUGUCCGGCUGUGGGCUGAGGUGCAUUUGCGGGCGUAUGCGCUGAGACCUGUGGGGCAGCUGCUGGACCCGUGUUCUAGAGGCCGUCCUCUGGACGGAACCUGGUCGCGGUGACGGCUGUUUGCCCUGCUUGUACGCGUUUGUGCGGCCAACGGACCUUGCCCGCGCUGCUGUUCCCUUGCGAUGGUAUCGCAUGCGAUGCCAAGCUUGGGGGCUGUGGUUCGGUCCGGUGUUCCCGUGCACCAUCUCGGUGUAGAAGCUGGUCAUCUCUCCGACCCGUCUUGAAACACGGACCAAGGAGUUUAGCGUAUGCGCGAGUCAUUGGGUGUCCAAAACUCAUAGGCGCAAUGAAAGUGAAGGCUCGGUUGCCGGGCUGACAUGCGAGCGCUAGGGCUUCGGCUCUGGCGCGCAGCAUGGUCCCGUUUCGGUCGCUUGCGACGGAGCGGAGACAGAGCGUAUGCGCUGAGACCCGAAAGAUGGUGAACUAUUCCUGAGCAGGACGAAGCCAGAGGAAACUCUGGUGGAAGUCCG
RNAcentral lists this ribosomal RNA (535 nucleotides) under Hemicriconemoides alexis. RNAcentral's name for it is "partial 28S ribosomal RNA". It matches the Rfam family "Eukaryotic large subunit ribosomal RNA", at positions 596 to 877 of the family's 3401-position model. The record is from RNAcentral. Lineage: Eukaryota; Metazoa; Nematoda; Chromadorea; Rhabditida; Criconematidae.